GUCGAGGAUCUUCCGCAAUGCGCGAAAGCGUGACGGAGCGACGCCGCGUGGGUGAUGAAGGCCUUCGGGUUGUAAAGCCCUGUCUCCUGGGAAGAAUGGCGGGAGGUGAAUAGCCAUCUCGUCUGACGCUACCAGGGAAGGAAGCACCGGCUAAAUACGUGCCAGCAGCCGCGGUAAUACGUAUGGUGCGAACGUUGUUCGGAAUCACUGGGCAUAAAGAGCACGUAGGCGGUUGAGCAAGUCCAUUGUGAAAUCCCCCGGCUUAACCGGGGAACUGCAGUGGAUACUACUUGGCUAGAGUGCAGGAGGGGAGAGUGGAAUUCCUGGUGGAGCGGUGAAAUGCGUAGAUAUCAGGAGGAACGCCGGUGGCGAAAGCGACUCUCUGGUCUGUAACUGACGCUGAGGUGCGAAAGCUAGGGGAGCAAACGGGAUUAGAAACCCCAGUAGUCC
Molecule: ribosomal RNA, 450 nt
Filed under: uncultured bacterium
Lineage: Bacteria
Description: bacterial SSU rRNA
Rfam family: Bacterial small subunit ribosomal RNA
Source: RNAcentral